UCAUUUUAGGGAAGUUAAAGUAAACAUAGAUUGUAGUGUUCUGUGUAGAGACUGACCCUGUUGUCUCAGGUUACAGUACACCUACCCAAAGAGUUCUGCCCCUUGCUCUUCUGAAAGGCUGGCCUGCCAUCCAUGGUGAGACUGCUGAAUCUUUGGAAGUGGCAAGUUCUAUUUUGUUUGUUUUUUGAGACAGAGUUUCUCUGUGUAGCCCUGCUGUCCUGGAAUUCUCUCUGUAGACCAGGCUGGCCUUGAACUCAGGAACCACCUAUCUUCAGAGUGCUGGGAUUAAAGGUGAGCGCCACCACCACCCAGCUCUGAUUGGAUUUUUUUAGUGUUGAUGGCAGGCAGUAAAAGAAAAUUAGUAACUAUUCAGUGUUUCCAAAGUUUCUUCAAUGUCUUGAAUCAAAUCUUUUUUUCUUGAGGAAACCACAGCACCAGAACUGUUCUGCCUGGGUCUUUGUGCAGCGUCUUGGAGGCCUGUGGUCUCUCUGGCUUACUGGGUGUUUCAUAUACCUUGGCCCAUAGCAAGUGCAUCCCAGCCCUGCAGUGUGGCUGAUACCGUGGGAGGAAAUGCUCAGGAACAGCCAGAGUUCACUGAAUGGAGUUGUCUGAGUACCUACUGGCCUGGGAGAGAGAAGUGAAUCAAACUGUCUGUUCCUGGAGGGGUGCAUAGCCUAACUGCAGUGGUAUCCACCGUUUAUCCUGUUGUAAGAGUGCCUUCCAUGGGAAUUUGAGCCACAGACCCAGGAGGUAUAACUACCUUAGCAUGCUGGAAUUUCUUGGUCAACCCUGCAGACAAUUCCAUUGUUACAUAUUUUCCACAUAGUCUUCCUGUGGGCAUAAAAAUAAAGGCUCUACUACCCUAGCAGCUCCAUGCUGAUAGGUCAAAGUUCAGGCCAAGCCCAGGUGCUGGCUUCUGUUAGAAAUCCCGCAGGACUGUUCUUUUCAUACUUGAUUUCUCAGGCCAGUUGCUCGGCUUGGACAUGAACACCUACUUCAGCGCAUUGCCCCUGGGCUCUGCUCUGAGGGGGACCUGUGAAUUAAAACACCUCUCUGCAGCUCUCUCAGGUGGCCUGAAGUUUUCAUGGCUAUGUGGCACCCAGUCUCGCCAGGCUUACUUAGACAGUGGGGCAAACUUUUAUGCUUCCUGUACAGGGCUAGCUUUGAUAAGAACUAUUACGUGGGAUACUGUGAGUGUUUUGUCACUUUUUAAAGAAGUUAUUUGAUGCUUAUUGUGAUUUUAAAUGAUCCUGUAAUUUCUCACAUAGACUAUAGGAAGCAACCGAGUCAGUCUUACACUGUUGGCAAACGCAGCUGCUUUCCUUGACAACUAAUGCUAGUUUAGGUUUCUCUUUGUGCCCGUUUGUUGAAAACCUUUGCUUUCUGGAGCUAUGCCUUCAAAGCCUGCUUGUCACUUUGGUGACACGCAUUAGAGAGGCUGCCAUUUUUCCACUUUCAAAGGGAACUUGUGCCACAGAUGGACUGGAGAGGUUCCAGGCCUUACCAAAGUGUUCCAUUAGCAUCUCCAAAGGAGGACCCAAGGGGCCUGCCUUUCCUGAGGCCUCUGUUGCUCUGCAGUGGAGCAAGAACCAGGCUACUGCCUUGCCUGCCUUUGUUGAGAAGCCAGAGCCUCCAUCUGAGCUAUUCCAUUGCUUGUAAGGAACCUGGAUCUCCCAUGUUCACCAUCCCUGAGAUGCCCGGCAUCUCAGACCACUUAAAGAUGUAGAGGUACCUCCAGCUGCUUUAAUGGAAAUGAAGAAAUAAUGAAGAUGGGCAGAUGGCUCACAGUGGUCUGGCUUCUAAAAGCUGGAGGUUACCAGUUAGGCCCAGCACAGUUUGGAGGUCAGAAAAUCAAUCCCUGGACUGUAAGCUGCAAGUCUUGCUGGGUGACCAUCUGAGAGGCAAGGUUGUCUCCUAGGCUGCCCUAGUGCUGAACAGCAGGCCAGACUGGAAGCACUGCUCCAGGACUCAGGGAUCUGGGCUGCAAGGAUCUGUCUGGUCUGCUUUUGUUUCCUUCUCCCCCAGCAAGAGAUGUGGACCUUAGUCUGUAAUGCUAGAUUUUCUAUUUGUUUAGUGACCUUUAAGCCCAUGAUGUUCAUUUGUUGAAAGAUGAGAAGUCUCAGGGUAAUUCUAGUGUUUCUAGAGGACAGGCUCUAAUUGUCAGUCUUGAUUUAAUUGAAGGUUUGUGUGCCACUGUGUCCUCUCUUUCUCUCCUCCCUUUUUCUUCUGUGCUAGUUUUUCACCCUCUUCCUCUCUGAUGAAAGCAGUCCAGGCCAUACAUCAUUUUCUUUCUUUUUUCACCUAAAUAUUUAUAUCCCUGUGAAAUGGCUGAAUUGCAUCCUUAAUAGCCACGGAGACUCUGGCCAGAGGCAUUCUUAGACUCAGGUUCAAAGUCAAAAUCUUAACUCUUGCUCUUGGUCCUCCAAUUGUAAACAUGGCCCAAUGGCUCACUGGAACAUCUGUUGGUCAUUUGUAUAUUCAGAAAAUGAUCAGAAAGCCAUACAGACGAAGUUAUAAAUAACCAAAAAAUAUUAGAAGGUGGAGCUAAAAUGCUGGCUGCCACUGAAUGCCUCAGCCAAAACACACCUUGCCAGAGGCAGCUGAGUCCCCUUCAGGCUGCCCUGUGUGGUGCAGGUGGACAAUGGCUGCACUGAGAUAGGAGGCCCAUAUGAGCACAAGACUUGUCUCUACUGGAAUCAGCACAUCUGACAAGGCUACCAACCUGUAAGGAGACCCUUUAUCUCCUUCAGACUUGACAUCACCUCCCUCCUUUUUGCUCCCUCUUGGUUCUUUUCCUCUGUUGGUUCUUGGCUACCAUCUGUGUCUCCUGCAAAUCCUGGUUGGACCUUACAGGUGGAUGUAUAGUUUGAACUCUUUGUGGAUUCUGAAGAACUGAUUAGUUGUUGUUGCUAGUGUUGUUGCCUAUGUCUGAAAUAGGAAAAUUCAAGUUCUUUGGUGAAUGCUGUCUUCUAUGCCUGGCGACUGGACCCUCAGGUGGGUGGUGUCUAUACUCUACCCACCCACAGGAGAUCUAAAACAUCCCCAGCCUGCAUACUGCCAUAAUUCCUCACCCAGGCUCACACCUGGGGAAGGUAAACAGGACUUGGUCAUGGCUUAUGUCUGUAAGCAUUUCUCCAAGGCUCCUGUUCCCUUCUGUAACUGGUGGAUCACUUCAUUGUGAUACCAGCUUGAGACAGGAUAGCAAGACUCUUUUUGUAAUUAUUUUUAUUUUAUGUACAUUGGUAUUUGCCUGCAUGUAUGUCUCUGUGAGCCUGUCAGAAGUCCUGGAACUGGAAUUUGAGGGCUUUAUAUGGUGGGGUGUACAGACACAAAGGAAGGCUAAUUAUUACAUAGUUUGUGAAUCCAUUGAAUGUUAAAAUGUGCCUUGUAUUCAAUUUCAUCUCACAAGAAACAGAAAUUUUAGAAACUUAUUUGAAAAGCCUCCUCUCCAGGAAGCAUUACAGUUCUUAGGUUCUGUUCCACAAGCAGGAGGUUCUGCCUGCAUGCCAGUGAGCUUCACUCUUAGCGCAUGUGAAGAGGUCCCCGAAGCAACAGCAGUCACAGGACACUGGGUGCUGGGAUAGGCAGGAAGUAAGGGCCACUCCAACAUACUCAGCUAAGGUCUAUUGUGAACUUUUUUUUUUUCCCUGUAAGCUUUCCAAGCUACUUGGGACAUCGGGACAAUUUAUUUCACUCACAGGAGUUUAUGCUGCUUGAGGGCAAAAUACUGUGUUUACGAUGCUGUUCUUAAAAUAGCAGGCCAUCCAUGGUGCUUGAAUCAUCAUCAGGACUCUGUCCUGCUUUCAAGGAAUUCAGUGUAUCAGGAGCUCAGAGUGUGGACACUAAGUGCUUGAGUGCCAGAUGCAAGGUGCGUCAGUGAAACAGGGAGCAUCUGGGGAAGGUGGAGUGAAGGGCUGCCUGGUGAUUCACCUGCGCAGGAGGAGAGCAGACUGGGCAAAGUGUCCCUGAGGUGACUCGCAGACCCUCACACUGACAGAAGACCUACACAGAAAACCCUUUGCCAAAUCUGCUCCUAGCAAGUGGACAGUGACACCGUUUACAGCUUGACACCUUUGUGAAUCCCACGCCAUUUUCCUAACCCAGCAGAGACUGUUAGCAGCCCUGGCCCUGGGUGAAGCCCAUACCCGUGGAACAGAACUCUGUAAUGUAUGCAAACUCUCUGAGUGACCUGCCAGCAAGGACAGCACCCUUCAGCACCACCACUCUCCUUCAGAGCACACCGGGAGCCCCAUCAGCGAUUCUGUAGUGCUUUACUAUCAUGGUUUAUGGGAUAUGUUAAGCGUUGUUUUGUGUUUGUUUCCCCUUUGACCCUCUGGGUUUUUUUUUUUUUUUUUCACACAGUAACUUGCAGUAUUUUUCUGUUAAAAUGUUAACUGCCCUUCCCCUAGCACACUUAUAAGCGGAAGGAAAAGUGCUGUACCAGUUCCCAGUCUGGCUUUGAGCAUCCCAAGCUUCGGAGCCCAUGGAACUCCACAAACUUAACACAUUACAUAAACUAAAGGGGGAUUUUCUUUCUUCUUUUGUUUGGUAGAAAAGUAUUCUUUUCUAAAAACUGAACAAUGGCACAAUUGUUUGCCCUGUAUACCCGUCCAGGACUAAACUACGUGUAGGCGAAGCAAAUGGAGGCAGGCAUCUGACUCAGCAGUUUCCAGUUCUGAGUUGGGGGUGGUCUGUGGAUGGGGACCCAGUGCCCACCCUACAGCUGCCUGGUCAGUAGGGCUUAUGGUCCCGCCAUUCUCCUCAGCCAGUGCAGUAGACAGUGUCUGCUCUUAGAACUAGGACCUCUUCAGGAAAGCACAGCUACUGCUCAUUGCCAAAUGCCAUGAAUGGGUUUAGUUUUAAGGAGAAAAAAAAAAGAAGAAAAAAAAAAAUGUGGUGUUUUGCUUCAUAGAAGAUAGGGGAUUGCUGGUGGGCCAUUAAGAAAGAGUGCAGUGGGGAAUGUGUGAAAUGGGCAAACCAAGUCUGCACUAAGGCAGGUCCAACUUCACUGUUUUUGAAACAUACACAUCUUUUGAUUAUUUUCAGCCUUGCUGUGUAUACUCUGAUCUUUCUAGAAGUGUAUGAGUGACAGGCGAUAGCAUACAAGGUGAUGUAAAUAAGCUUAAGGUGUAAUUGUACAAGUGACACUUGGAAAUACAAGAUAAGGCAGUCUAAACUUUUUUUUUUAACUUUCUCUGCUUCUAUGAAUCUCAUUUUUUGUUUGUUUGUUUGUUUUCAAAAAGUUAUGGUGCUGUAUAGGUGCUUUCUGUUUAACCUGCAAAGUGUGAGUGUAUUCAUUGCCCUUUGACAGGCAGCAUAGUUGGGAACACCUUUGGUACAUACGAAACUGGUGUGAUGAUGCCCUGGUUAGCACAGCAUAUACAUACUUCUCCAAGGUGAUAUACGAAGACUCUUCUUUGCAUAAAAAGCAUUAGGCAUAUAAGUGUAUAAAUGUAUUUUACCAUGUACAGUACAAAAAUGGAACUUUAUGCAUGGCGUUAGGAAUGUGGGCUGAUAUUCCAGCACGGUCUCCCUGCUUGAGUUCUCGCUCUUGCUUGCACUGUGGCAGUGGACACCAACACAGGCGUGCCACCCAGUCCCCUGCACCCACCACCGGCCCCCUUGUGCACCUUUGCUUUAUGAUUCCUCUAGGAAUGAUAUUGGUGGCAAUCACAACUCCUAGCAUAAUGAGAGUUCCAUUUGGUAUUGUCACACUUCUUUCUUGCCUCACUUAGAUUACUGUAUCUGAGCAAUGGCCCUGUCAGUUUCACUCUGCCUUUUCCAGAACCUGUACAUUGUCACUCAGUUGUGGCUGUAGUAGGCCUAUAGCACAUUGCCUUUUCCAAACUGCUACAUGUUUAUAGUCUCCAUUUGUAAAGUCUAAUUUUGAAAAUAUGUAUAGUAUUCCUGUGGUCUGCUUGUCAGUGAGCCAUACCUGCUUACUUCACUCUUUUGUGGUGAUGCUAGCCACUCCCUGAUUCUUCAGUAGUCAGCUGUCCACACAAACUGGGUCAUUUCAGGCAGAGGGCUGGUAGGCUGGCUUCCCAGAGUGCUGCUUCCUUGGUGGGCUGCAUGGGGGUGGCAGCUGAGGGAGUGGAAAGAGCUCAGGUACAAGGGAGAACCCCAAGUGCUUCCAACAGGAGGGCCCUGAGAAUUCUCUCCUGAGUUUAAAGAAACGAGCAGACUAAUUCACAAGACAGCCACUUGGCUGUGCAGUUUACAGGCGCUGGGAGUGGGAAGGCAACCCUCCAGUGUAUUCCCCUAGUUUUAAAACGUUGAAUUCCUUUUAGACACGUAACUUCUCAUUUAUUUUCUUGCCCAGAGUUUGUUGGAUUUCAGGCACCAAGUUUCACAGAAUGUCCUAGAAACAGAUUAUAAGCUGAAGCAAGGACCAUGUGAGGCCAGGGUGGCCUCAGUAGAUCAGAAAAGCAGAGGCAGAAUGCUUUGAUACACUUUACUUUUUAAAAUAAUACAACGUCCACACAUAGGAUGUGUGGAGAGCUAAGGCCCGCCAGGCCCAGGACCCAUGCACACCCAACUCCAGGGUCCCUACACAGACAGGCUUAAGAAGCCCAGGUCUAUGGCAGUCAGACUCGGCAGAGGUGACGCCUGGGCCCUCUGUACCUUCUGUUGGAACCCUGCUUUCAGGGUAGGCUCAUCAUUGUCCACCCAGUAGCAUUCUCAAUGUCUUAAGUCCCUAACAGUGAAAUGCUCCAAGGAGCAGAUGACCUCACAACCUGCUAACGCCUGUGUGAACCUUCCUAGGGAGCCCAGCACACUUGUGACAAUACAGGAAACAGAGUGCCUACUGUUCAAGACUGAAGCUCUCUUGGGCUCUGCGGUCUCUUCAGGCUCCAGAGCCUGACAUCUUGUACCAAAGCUAGAGAAGAGCACGUGGCGAGCCUGCCCACCCUGGACUUGUUAACUGUGACUGCGUCUGAGGUGGUGUCUGUCCUCGGGGACGUGAUGACUGCUGAAGCACAUAGGACUCUCCUGCUGACGGAGGACAUGCACACAGGCGCUGCGUGAUGAAUAGCAUCAUGUGUGUUGCUUUCCCAGCCAGAGGAGAGGACAUCUUGCCUCACUCCCCAGGAGAGGCCCCGUCUCAGGUGUGACUUCAGCCAACAUCCAAACCCAUAUACAGGUCCAAGGUCACAGGGACAGACAACUUUGCCAUCCCCUGAACGAACAGGCAGCGUUGGAAUCUUCCAGAAAAGACCUUCAGGAGUAAAGCAGAGAGAAAGCAAGUCUGUCCCUGGGCCUGAGGGGGCACAAACAACUCCUUUUCUCUGUAGAAACAAAGGAAAGGCGGUAUAGACUUGAAUCCUCCUCCUCGGUGGAUCUGGGGAACGUAUGAUUAGGCACAAUAAUGUUCUUUUUAAAAUUAACAGCAGACCUUAUGUAGAAAAGCAAUCACUGGUACUGAGGUACAAAGAAGCCAUUUGUGGGAUUGGAACAGCAGGGAACCAGGGGAUGAGGUAGGAGAGAUGUCUUGUGGGAACUAAGGUCAAACAAGACCUUAGAGCAGCUGCCCAGGUCACUGACAGAAGUGUGCGGUAUUUGCACUAAAUCUUCAGUGUAAAACACACAGAUUAGAUGAGUGCAGCAUUUUCACUUGUUGAGUUUUAUGUGUUUUGUAUUUUUCUUUCAUGAGUUAAUAAUUACAAGGCCUCUGCCACACUCCAGAAAUACUAGUGCAGCUGGUUUAAAAAAAAAAAAAAAGGUGUGUGUGUCUGGUCACUUAUUUCUCUAGAAUUAUCUCAUUGCCUGGCAAUCAGCCUUGUCUUAUGUCCUUGUUCGAGCACAUUAUGUACGUGGGAAAUGUAAACAGAUGUGAGAGAGACCAGAAGAAUUCGUGAAUAUUGAAAAAUGUCUUGUGCAUUUGGGCUUCACAUGUUUAACUUUUUUUAAGGGGAAAAAAAAAAAGUUGCAUGAAUGAAAAACCAAUUCUGUAUACAGUUUCUGUAAAAAUGGCUUAUCUGUUUUGAUUUCUUGCUUCUGCCCCACACAAACUAGAAUUUAGUAUGGUGCGUGGCCAUAUUCAGACACGUAAGAAGCAGUCUGUUGUGCGGUGUGAAGCAAACACUACUGUGCUGCAUUCUAGUCCUGAGGACCUCGUCUAACCACACAUUGCCAUGAAUUAGCCUGACCGCCUUCUUCUCAAGGAUCAAAACCAGUUUGAUUUGGGAAUCUGCCCCUUUCCAGUGAAAUGGAGAUGCUUACUUCCCUGGGUGUCUGUAGAUAUGCCUGUGUAUUCCAUUUAAAACCAUAAUCUAGUUUGUAAAAGAGAUGGUGACGCAUGUAAAUAAAGCAUUGAUGACACUCUGCCCCAUGCCCAGAAGUCUCUGUCAUCACCACUGCCCUGUGCUCCCCCACAAGUGAAAUGUUUGGGUUUGUGUGAUAGUCUUCUUGUGGGAUGGAUCACUUCCCAAGCUGGGAGAGGCAGAGACCUGCCAAGCUAUUACAUCUAAAUGAAAUGAGCCCAGUAAACUCUUGCUCCACCCCACGUUUGCCCUCCGUAGACAAGCAGUUUAAUAAAACACAUUCUCGGAGUUGUUCAUGCUGGCCGAUGGUGGGCUUGGUGUGCACUGGUUCAUAGAGCCCCUGGGGAGCGCCUAAAUGUGAAGGCGGGAGUCAGACUGCCUUAACGGACUGACCAGUCCUAAAGAAGUCCUCCUUCCAUGAGUCCAGUGAGUAACCACUGGCCAUCAUCAGGGCCCUCCUGGUAUACUGAAAGCCAG
This 8741-nucleotide long non-coding RNA is filed under the name Cricetulus griseus (Chinese hamster). Its description in RNAcentral is "lncRNA (ENSCGRG00015038001.1)". Lineage: Eukaryota; Metazoa; Chordata; Mammalia; Rodentia; Cricetidae. The record is from RNAcentral.